This 454-nucleotide RNase P RNA is filed under the name Treponema sp. Its description in RNAcentral is "RNase P RNA component class A". It matches the Rfam family "Bacterial RNase P class A". Rfam says of the family: Ribonuclease P (RNase P) is a ubiquitous endoribonuclease, found in archaea, bacteria and eukarya as well as chloroplasts and mitochondria. Lineage: Bacteria; Pseudomonadati; Spirochaetota; Spirochaetia; Treponematales; Treponemataceae. The record is from RNAcentral.
GUGAUGAACCAGGCUGCCGCGCCGUUUCGGCGGAAAGGCUUGAAGCGGUGAGGAAAGUCCGGGCUCCGCAGGGUAUGAUGCCGGGUAACACCCGGGCGGUCCUUUUCCAUGAAAAGUACCGACAGAAAGCGCAACAGAAAGUAAACCGCCGUAAACUUGUUUACGGUAAGGGUGAAAAGGCGGGGUAAGAGCCCGCCGCGGAAACGGCAACGUUUCCGGCGAAAAAUAACGGCCCCCAGGCCGCUAUUCGGCAAGCCUCAUCAGGAGCAAAGUCAAGCGGCGGUUGUACUGAUUCCGGGGCUUAUUCCCGGGAAUCGGUCGGGGAAUGCCCGUUCCCAUACCGCAGGUAGACUGCAAAGAGGCCGGCCUCAAGGCCGGCCCAAGAUAGAUGGCAGCGGACACGGUCCUCUACGGGGACACGGUAACAGAACCCGGCUUAUGGUUCAUCACUUUU